ACUUAAGCCUUAAACCUAGCUCCCCUCCAGCCCCAAGCGGGGAGCAGCUCUCAAUACCCGGUGAGACACAGAGCACUUGAGCUAUUUCAGCCACAUGAAAAGCAUCGCAAUUGAGAUCGCAGCUCAGAGGACACCGGGCAUCCCUUCCGCCCUCCAAGAAGCCUUGUAUUCUCGCACCUGGCUGCUUGGGACUUUCCUUAGGCAGUAAGCAAAUAAAUAACGCAGGGAUAAGACCACGUGAACAUGUCGAAACAGCCGGUUUCCAAUGUCAGAGCCAUCCAGGCAAAUAUCAAUAUUCCAAUGGGAGCCUUUCGGCCAGGAGCUGGGCAACCCCCCAGAAGAAAAGAAUUUACUCCUGAAACGGAAGAGG
This is a non-coding RNA of Orycteropus afer afer, 370 nucleotides long. Lineage: Eukaryota; Metazoa; Chordata; Mammalia; Tubulidentata; Orycteropodidae. The record is from RefSeq and is a predicted model, not a curated record.